GUUUCAAUUCCUUAUAGGUACUAUCAAAAC
RNAcentral lists this non-coding RNA (30 nucleotides) under Thermobacillus composti KWC4. Lineage: Bacteria; Bacillati; Bacillota; Bacilli; Caryophanales; Paenibacillaceae. The record is from RNAcentral.